GCCAAUAUGGAUUUUGUAUUGAUUCAAUGGAUCCUAUUAAUAGGAGUUGUAUGUUGGCACUUUGAUUAUUAUUAAUUGAGCUCUAGCCCCUCAACAAAAAUUAGUAUGGAAUAUGUUGUUAUGUUUAUUCAUGAUAUUUAUUUUUAAAUAUCAUAUCUAAUGAUAAUAUUUGAAAUAUCUCGUUGAGAUUUUCAUUACUUCUAAACUAUCGAGCUCACUAUCUUUCCUUUAUUUUCAAAUUCUGACAUUUAGUCACGGAUGUGGGUGUUAAUUAGGAGUGAGACUAGAGAUGAGACUUGGCAUAACCAACAUCAUUGAACUUAGAUUUAU
RNAcentral lists this long non-coding RNA (330 nucleotides) under Elaeis guineensis (African oil palm). Its description in RNAcentral is "long non-coding RNA (EGUI_LNC081183)". Lineage: Eukaryota; Viridiplantae; Streptophyta; Magnoliopsida; Arecales; Arecaceae. The record is from RNAcentral.